CGCCCGUCAAACUAUGAAAGCUGGUAAUAUUUAAAAACGUGUUGCUAACCUUUAUUGGAAGCGCAUGUCAAGGAUAGCACCGGUGAUUGGAGUUAAGUCGUAACAAGGUACCCCUACGAGAACGUGGGGGUGGAUCACCUCCUUUCAAAUGGAGUUUUUAUUUUUUAUUUAUCUUAAACACCCAUUAAUUUUUUCGGUGCUAAAACCCAAAUCAAUGUUUGGUCUCACAACUAACACAUUUGGUCAGUUUGUAUCCAGUUCUGAAAGAAUGUUUUUGAACAGUUCUUUCAAAACUGAAAACGACAAUCUUUCUAGUUCCAAAAAUAAAUACCAAAGGAUCAAUACAAUAAGUUACUAAGGGCUUAUGGUGGAUGCCUUGGCACUAAAAGGCGAUGAAGGACGUGUUAACCUGCGAUAAGCUUCGGGGAGGUGGUAAAAACCUGAGAUCCGGAGGUGUCCGAAUGGAGCAAUCUGGUAGCUUGCAAAAGUUACCAUUAAUUAAUGAAUUCAUAGUUAAUUAAAGCGAUACGUGGUGAAGUGAAACAUCUCAGUAACCACAGGAAAAGAAAACGAAUGUGAUUCCGUGUGUAGUGGCGAGCGAAAGCGGAACAGGCCAAACCUAUCUGAGGAUAGGGGUUGUAGGGCUUGCAUUAUGGAAGUUAAAAGGAUAGAAGAAGCUGUUGGAAAGCAGCGCCAAAGAGGGUGAUAGCCCCGUAUUUGAAAUCUUUUUAAUACCUAGCAAGAAACCUGAGUAGCUCGAAAAACGUUAUUUUGAGUGAAUCUGCCCAGACCAUUGGGUAAGCCUAAAUACUAAUUAGUGACCGAUAGCGAAACA
Molecule: small RNA, 835 nt
Filed under: Mycoplasmoides genitalium
Lineage: Bacteria; Bacillati; Mycoplasmatota; Mycoplasmoidales; Mycoplasmoidaceae
Description: bacterial LSU rRNA
Rfam family: Bacterial large subunit ribosomal RNA (bases 345-835)
Source: RNAcentral